Molecule: long non-coding RNA, 1509 nt
Filed under: Microcebus murinus (gray mouse lemur)
Lineage: Eukaryota; Metazoa; Chordata; Mammalia; Primates; Cheirogaleidae
Description: lncRNA (ENSMICG00000048716.1)
Source: RNAcentral
CAAAAGGCUGUCCAUGCCUCUCUUCACAAGGUGUGCAGAAACAUGAGAGACCCAUGGAAAAUUGUCUCCUAGCAAUUCCAAAUUGAAAAGUUAAAAGAAGCUAAAGAAAACAAAUGGAAAUCCUAGGAAAGGCAUUUCUACCUACGUGUAAAAACGAGAAGCCGACUUACAGAGAAGCCAAGGGAUUUGACUAUGUCGCGUUGGAAGAGUCAGCGCUACAACAUGCAAGCUCCCUGAAGCUCCAGGCUGGUCGCUGCUUUUCGCCCACAGAGGCCCAGCUCCCAAACGUCCGUGCACUAAGGCCAAGCAACGCGUCAAAAAGGCCCAUGCCAUGCCCUCCGAAUAUGGGCGCUACACCCAGGCCUGCCAAGGACAUUCAACUUCCUUCCUUCCUCCACGGCAGCACCAUGGAAGGGAGAGCCUGGAAGCUGGAAAGUGGACCUCAAGUUUGCGUGGCUCCGAGUGAGAUCUCUGGCCAGGGCAACACUUCUCAAACGUAUGAAAGAGCCAGUGAAAACUCCAGCCAGACACACUUAAUCACUGAGAAACACAGAAGAGGGAGGCGCCCAUCCUGCUUGGUGACCCGGGAGCUGGGGAGCAACAGGACCAUCAGCUUUCCCUCCUUGCUCCCACGCCCGGUGUCGGAUGCAAGCGAGGACCUCCCUGCCGUCUCCGUGUGCAUCUGCAUACACGCGGCACACAUGCUCGUGGGCUCUCACACCAGGGAGACUUGCUUGCUUCUGUGUGUGUGUGUGCGCGCAUGUGUGUGUGUGCGUGUGCGCGUGCAUGUUCUUACACACACACCCGCUUCCUCUUCUGCUGCUCACCGCCGCAAUCCUCUGAGAGUGCAGCACAAGGUUUCCAUUAGUGAAGCACAUUUUUGUGCGAUGGAUGUUGAACCGGGGGAAAGAAAGCAGACUGCUGUCCAUGAUGGAUGGGUUUCCGAGAGGACUUCCCAGGGUGGUCCUUUGGGGGCUGGGGUGGAGGCAUGCGGACGCAGGGCUCACAACAUUCCCUGUCUCGGUGUGAUGUCUGUGUCGGGUCUGCCUGCUCUGCCCGUGGGCUCUGCACCCCCAUUCAUCCCCUUGCGUCACCCCCACCCACCGCAGCGAUCCUCCCUCCCCCAACACCCCGUGCCUCCAGCUUCCCUCAGUUCAGACAUACUUUGUUCUCAUUUUAGAACAAAAAGUGACAUGUCCCGUGUGCUUGUUCUUGAUUGUGGAUGUGGCAGCCCCUACGAGGAAGGCAUGGUUUGGAGACCAGAGCUCACGAAACAUCACCCAUUAUUCCUGCGUUUUAACAAGACUCUAUGUCUCUCUGAAGAAUGCUGAGAUUUGCACAAACUUUGUAAACGUAAUUUUCCGGAACACUCACCCUUAUGGCCGCAUGCAGACAGAACGAGAGACUAGGAGGGUGAACCGAGGCCCAGCUCUGGAUUCUCAACAGCUUGCACAACGCCUCAAACACGAUUAGCAUGUGCUGGAUGAAUGAAUAAUAAAAAUAACUGGG